UGCUGGGGUCCUCAGUCCUGCCUGCGGUCAGUGCCAUUGCUCUCACUGCAGAGCUCAUCCUCAAGGCAGAAAAAGGCCGCCGCACUCUGACAGACCUGCGCUUGGUGGUCUUGCCCUGUCAGAUCCUCCUCCUUGUCUGCUGGCUUGUCUUGCUGAUGUGUGUGGACUAUAAGGUGGAGAAACUCAUGUGAGUAGAGUUUUUACACAAUAAAAAUGUCUUCACUUUAUAGUGUUUAUAAGCGAUCAAUUUUGUUUCUAAAAAAGUAGUUAUUUAAACACUGUACCUGUAUCUAAGUUAGUUUUAAUGACACUGUUAUUGCAUAAGACACCUGCAAUUGGAACACAUUU
Molecule: non-coding RNA, 348 nt
Organism: Lepisosteus oculatus (spotted gar)
Lineage: Eukaryota; Metazoa; Chordata; Actinopteri; Semionotiformes; Lepisosteidae
Source: RefSeq, a predicted model, not a curated record